GAAAGUAUAGUCACCACUUCAGAGACCAGGACUCAUUCAUCAAGAAAACACCUUAUUUAUGCAACAGAUCAUCAUAGUCAUGUAUGUCAUUUAACCACUACAGAUUGUUCAUACUUGAAAUUUUCAGGAUACACAGCCAUACUUAGAUCUCCCUCUACAUCACCACUAGGACUUGCAUUAAGUUGAACGCCAGUAACUAAAAGCCAAGAUUUGCAUCAAUCCAAACUUACAGAGCUAGUACUACUUGCUGGUCUUCUCGGCGACAUGCCCAGCACCUGCAGCCGCGGUAUCCUGGUCAGCACCAGGACGCACUCCUGCUGCCGUGCCAUCUUGCCCAGCACCUGCCGCCGCGCCGUCCUGGUUAGCCACAACACCGGCUUCACCAUCACCCACUGCAUCCUCAUCCGGGUCGACAAUCUUGGCUCCGACACCGAACCGACACCGCCGACUGACGUACGAGGGCGAGGGCGACCACGGUCGGAACCUGCCUGGACGCGCACGGACGGGGCCCCCAGAACCAGAUCCGCUGCGGUCGCGUGCUGCGCUGCCGGCCGUCGCGACGGCCUUGACUAGCUUGCCAUCGCCGGAUUUCGCUCCUCCGCCCUCUGCUCCGCCUGCCAUGGCUCCAGUGCGAUGGACGCCACCUCGCCGGCUGUUUAUAUGGACGGGAUGCCAUCGAUUUGGGGUGAGAGGGGGAGGCCCUGGAUUGGAGGUUGGACCG
RNAcentral lists this long non-coding RNA (721 nucleotides) under Triticum aestivum (bread wheat). RNAcentral describes it as "long non-coding RNA (TAES_LNC024439)". The record is from RNAcentral. Lineage: Eukaryota; Viridiplantae; Streptophyta; Magnoliopsida; Poales; Poaceae.